CUUCCCCCAUAACACUGCUAUUCUGUAUUUUUCUAAAUUUUUUUCAUUCUCUAGUAUGAAAUUUAAAGCCAUUAAUUAUGAAACCAUUAUAUCUAUUCACAAUUUUGUUAGGUCCUCGAGCAAGAGCUAUUAGUUCAUCUGAAUUAUUUCUCUCCAUCAUCUUUGAUACCUAAAAAAAAUGAUAUGAAGUGCUGUUGAGUUAUCUGAUAUUAAAUAUGUAUCAAAAAUUAAUGUAUCCCACAAUUAAAUAUAAAUCACACCUGAUUCGAAAGUCACAUAGGGAAUAACUCGACCAACCAUCGCUGUUCAAUCCUUGCAUUAGGAUGAAUAUUAUGAUUGGCUCGUCUCUGAUAAAUUAAAAAUUCACUGCAUAAAAUAUAAAUAUAUCAUUUAGAACAUUAUAUCUAAUAUAAAAUUUAAAUCUUGAUGUCAUGCCUUAAAUAUACUAACCAGCGAUGGUCAGAUAUUAUAUCACUAUGAAGUAACACAUAACGAUGUGCUUGUGCUAAGGAUUUUUGAUCAAGUACAAUACUUUCAGCUCUUCUCAAGAAUUUUCCAGCAGUUGAGAACUUAUACAGUUCUGCAUUCUCCACAAAGUC
RNAcentral lists this long non-coding RNA (599 nucleotides) under Elaeis guineensis (African oil palm). Its description in RNAcentral is "long non-coding RNA (EGUI_LNC080083)". Lineage: Eukaryota; Viridiplantae; Streptophyta; Magnoliopsida; Arecales; Arecaceae. The record is from RNAcentral.